UACGUGGGGUGCGAGCGUUAAUCGGAAUUACUGGGCGUAAAGCGUGCGCAGGCGGUUUUGUAAGUCUGUCGUGAAAGCCCCGGGCUUAACCUGGGAAUUGCGAUGGAGACUGCAAGGCUUGAAUCUGGCAGAGGGGGGUAGAACUCCACGUGUAGCAGUGAAAUGCGUAGAGAUGUGGAGGAACACCGAUGGCGAAGGCAGCCCCCUGGGUCAAGAUUGACGCUCAUGCACGAAAGCGUGGGGAGCAAACAGG
This 253-nucleotide ribosomal RNA is filed under the name uncultured bacterium. RNAcentral's name for it is "partial 16S ribosomal RNA". It matches the Rfam family "Bacterial small subunit ribosomal RNA", at positions 524 to 776 of the family's 1533-position model. The record is from RNAcentral.